Molecule: non-coding RNA, 618 nt
Organism: Cyanistes caeruleus (blue tit)
Lineage: Eukaryota; Metazoa; Chordata; Aves; Passeriformes; Paridae
Source: RefSeq, a predicted model, not a curated record
UGUCCCCCAGUGGUACAGGGGAGCUUCCCAGGCUGGCUGUGCCCCACUACUCACCCUGGGAGGUUUCUGGGAGAUGGGCACGUGGUGAUGGGUGGGACGUGCCGCUCGAUCACGUCGCUGGAGUGGGAACCUGAGAGAGGAGGUAAACGGAUUGGGCUGGUGUAUAAAGGGGUGCAGAGGAAACUGACAGUGCGGGCAGGAUCCUGUGAGAGCUGAUGUGGGCUGUGCUCCUGUUGCUGCUUUAAUUCAUCAUCACUGGAGCAUGUAAAACCAGGACAGUUGCUGGAGCUGCAGCGCAUGAAUCACCCUUUGAGAGAAACGUGCCCCUGCGUGCUCCGACAAGCCCUCCUUUUCAAAGUGCCGUUGUCAAACCUGGCUUGCUGAGAGCGUGGAUCCAAAAACCUCUCACUGCAAAGGCACAAGGUUUCGCCCUGUUACUUCUGCUUCCUACCCAAGAGAGGAGCCAGGCUUUCUCCAGAAACUGUCUCCAGAACAUCCUUUAUGGGACAUGCUGAUAGCAAGAUAGGAAGCCACUCCACCCAGUGCUGCUCUUCCAGCUGAGCAUCCAUCACAGACAUCAACAUCCUGGGAAUAAGCCAACAAGAGCUGGAAAACUCA